UUCACCCAAACAAGGGCUAGUCCAGUCCCGACCAACUGCCGGAAUUCACUCGCCUAAAGGUAAUGACAAAACCUUAGAGUAUCAAGGAAACUCUUAAGAACCUCUCUAAGCUUUAAGGCUACUUCGCUUAGGAACCAGUCUUUUACGGGUAGACUCACACCUUAGAGUAUCAAGGACACUUUUAAGAACCUCUAACUUUUGCGGGUAAGUUAGUACCUUAGAGUAUCAAGGAACUCUUAAAAACCUCUCUAAGCUUUAAGGCUACUUCGCUUAGGAACCAGUCUUUUACGGGUAGACUCACACCUUAGAGUAUCAAGGACACUCUUAAGAACCUCUAACUUUUACGGGUAAGUUAGUACCUUAGAGUAUCAAGGAACUCUUAAAAACCUCUGAAAUCUUUAAAGGUAGACUCGACUUAAGAGUUUUCCCGGAAACUCUAUAAAACCAAACUAGAGUUUUAUGGUUGAGCUCACAAACCUUCUCUCACACUUUGGUACUAUUGAGACAACCCUCUCAACCAAAGUGGACACACACAAGAGGUGAUUAGAGGAGUGGAAUAUUAAAGCAAACAACACUUCUUACUUGUAAAGAUAAACAAGAAGAUUAGAAGAAGUUGGAGAGCUUUUGAAGCUUUGGAAAGCUAUGACACUUGAGCACUUGAAAGCUUGGAAGCUUGGAGGCAAAAACGUGUGGGCAAGUGUGGAGUGAAAGCUCUUGAGUUUGCUU
RNAcentral lists this long non-coding RNA (726 nucleotides) under Zostera marina. RNAcentral describes it as "long non-coding RNA (ZMAR_LNC004117)". The record is from RNAcentral. Lineage: Eukaryota; Viridiplantae; Streptophyta; Magnoliopsida; Alismatales; Zosteraceae.